RNAcentral lists this ribosomal RNA (492 nucleotides) under uncultured bacterium. RNAcentral describes it as "partial 16S ribosomal RNA". It matches the Rfam family "Bacterial small subunit ribosomal RNA", at positions 30 to 507 of the family's 1533-position model. The record is from RNAcentral.
CGAACGCUGGCGGCGUGCUUAACACAUGCAAGUCGAACGGUGAAGCGCCUUCCUUUUUGGUGGGUGUGGAUGAGUGGCGAACGGGUGAGUAACACGUGAGUAACCUGCCCCCUUCUUCUGGAUAACCGCAUGAAAGUGUGGCUAAUACGGGAUAUUCUGGGUCUGUCGCAUGAUGGGUCUGGGAAAGAUAUUGUUUCGGUGGGGGAUGGGCUCGCGGCCUAUCAGCUUGUUGGUGGGGUGAUGGCCUACCAAGGCGGUGACGGGUAGCCGGCCUGAGAGGGUGGACGGGCACACUGGGACUGAGACCCGGCCCAGACUCCUACGGGAGGCAGCAGUGGGGAAUAGUGCACAAUGGGCGCAAGCCUGAUGCAGCGACGCCGCGAGAGGGAUGGAGGCCUUCGGGUUGUGAACCUCUUUCGCCAGUGAAGCAGGCCUGCCUCGUUUGUGGGUGGGUUGACGGUAGCUGGAUAAGAAGCGCCGGCUAACUACGUG